RNAcentral lists this non-coding RNA (53 nucleotides) under unclassified sequences. RNAcentral describes it as "Mu-gpT-DE RNA". It matches the Rfam family "Mu-gpT-DE RNA". The record is from Rfam by way of RNAcentral.
CCCUGACAGUCGCAUGGUGCGGCUGACAUUUGCCACGACAGGAGAUUCUCAUG